UACGUAGGGUGCGAGCGUUGGUCGGAAUUACUGGGCGUAAAGCGUGCGCAGGCGGUUUGUUAAGUCUGAUGUGAAAGCCCCGGGCUCAACCUGGGAACUGCAUUGGAAACUGGCAAGCUCGAGUAUGGCAGAGGGGGGUGGAAUUCCGCGUGUAGCAGUGAAAUGCGUAGAGAUGCGGAGGAACACCGAUGGCGAAGGCAGCCUCCUGGGCCAGCACUGACGCUCAUGCACGAAAGCGUGGGGAGCAAACAGG
Molecule: ribosomal RNA, 253 nt
Filed under: uncultured bacterium
Lineage: Bacteria
Description: partial 16S ribosomal RNA
Rfam family: Bacterial small subunit ribosomal RNA
Source: RNAcentral